GUCCGCGGUGCCCCUGGGACUGCCAAUGGACUUGUUAAAUGGGAUGAAAGUGUCUGGAGGGAGUGUGAUGGGAGGAAACAUCCGAGCGUCGCUUUGCAUCCUUUGCAGAAGAGGAUUUCUGCUGGCGGGUUGCUGCGGCCUGGCUGAGCUCUGAAACUGAAAGUCACUGCUGUGAUUAAGGAACCCUUCUGAAGCCAUCAGAG
This 203-nucleotide long non-coding RNA is filed under the name Phasianus colchicus (ring-necked pheasant). RNAcentral's name for it is "lncRNA (ENSPCLG00000010222.1)". The record is from RNAcentral. Lineage: Eukaryota; Metazoa; Chordata; Aves; Galliformes; Phasianidae.